AUUUACUAGAAAGGAAAGGGGAUAUAAAAGAGAAAACAGUUCAUUUUCUCACUUAAACGUGGAUGGUGGGUUAAUUACCUAAAAAUGGAGGGGGUUUUGUGCAAAUAUGCAUGACGUACGGACAUAAGCACUAAUGAAUUUAUUAUUAGCUAAAUAUUUCAAUGUCAUUUCCUGUUUUCGGCAUGUUGUCUGUUUCGCGAAAAACCCAUACCUACCGAAGUCCAAACAUGAGGAAACUUUUUGGUGAUUUUUUCUCGAGCAUAAGAGACACUAGAAGCUUUAGGGGAGGACAAGAAGACCUGCGAGGGGCCCACAAGCUAGGUCGGCACACCGUGGGGGCGCCCCUUGACUCGUGGGCACCCCGUAGCUCCAUUUGGCCUAAUUAUUAGCCAAUAAUUUCCAUAUUGUUUAGAAAACCUUGAAGCAAGAACUAGAGAAAUUUUAUCUCCAUCGCAAGCCCAUGUUCCACUGUGAUCCCAUCUUAAGCCUUUUUCUCGUACUAUGUUGGAGGGGUAAAUCAUUGGGGAGGCCAUCUUCAUCAAGCCAUCGUUUUACCCCCUCCAACCAUGAGGAGUUAGCUGAAGUAUGCGAGGUGGAAGCCUUCUCAACAAAACAUAAAGUAUAAAUAAAGUGAACCAAGAAAAGCAC
Molecule: long non-coding RNA, 648 nt
Filed under: Hordeum vulgare
Lineage: Eukaryota; Viridiplantae; Streptophyta; Magnoliopsida; Poales; Poaceae
Description: long non-coding RNA (HVUL_LNC010468)
Source: RNAcentral